GCGAUCGUAGUUUAGUUGGUAAAACACUCAUCUUAAUCAAUCAUUUUGACGAUUAAGCAAAAUUACUGAGAGACGUGGGUUCGACUCCCAUCGAUUGCA
This 99-nucleotide transfer RNA is filed under the name Entamoeba terrapinae. RNAcentral's name for it is "tRNA-Leu". It matches the Rfam family "tRNA". Rfam says of the family: Transfer RNA (tRNA) molecules are approximately 80 nucleotides in length. Their secondary structure includes four short double-helical elements and three loops (D, anti-codon, and T loops). The record is from RNAcentral. Lineage: Eukaryota; Evosea; Mastigamoebida; Endamoebidae.